Molecule: ribosomal RNA, 486 nt
Filed under: uncultured bacterium
Lineage: Bacteria
Description: partial 16S ribosomal RNA
Rfam family: Bacterial small subunit ribosomal RNA
Source: RNAcentral
AUUGAACGCUGGCGGCAUGCCUUACACAUGCAAGUCGAACGGCAGCACGGGUGCUUGCACCUGGUGGCGAGUGGCGAACGGGUGAGUAAUACAUCGGAACAUGUCCUGUAGUGGGGGAUAGCCCGGCGAAAGCCGGAUUAAUACCGCAUACGAUCUACGGAUGAAAGCGGGGGACCUUCGGGCCUCGCGCUAUAGGGUUGGCCGAUGGCUGAUUAGCUAGUUGGUGGGGUAAAGGCCUACCAAGGCGACGAUCAGUAGCUGGUCUGAGAGGACGACCAGCCACACUGGGACUGAGACACGGCCCAGACUCCUACGGGAGGCAGCAGUGGGGAAUUUUGGACAAUGGGCGAAAGCCUGAUCCAGCAAUGCCGCGUGUGUGAAGAAGGCCUUCGGGUUGUAAAGCACUUUUGUCCGGAAAGAAAUCCUUGGCUCUAAUACAGGCGGGGGAUGACGGUACCGGAAGAAUAAGCACCGGCUAACUACGUG